GCUCGUUGACACGUUAUACGAACAAGCGAUGAUGAUUACAAAUAACACGUUAUUUUAUUUUGGUUAUGAAAGGUUUUAUCCAGGGUGAAAAGGGAAUAGGGUUGUGGCUGCGUUCUAUAGGCUCGGCGGGGACCACGUGACCCUAAAACACCCCCAACAUCGGACAACAUUCUUUCGAUAUAAACGUCGAAAACGGCUCGUCGCCAUUCAUUGUAAACCAUUGAUCGAUGCCGUUUGCAAGACGCGUCCACGUGUGAGUCACAAGUGGUGAUCAUGAGUCGAUCCUUGUGCGGCACCGUAACUUUGGCGUGUAGGCUGGAGAAUCAGCUGGUGCGUGCCGGCAACUAGUCGGCAUCGCUUCUCGGCCUUUUGGCUAAGAUCAAGUGUAGUAUCUGUUCGCUUCUCGGCCUUUUGGCUAAGACUGCGAUCGCCUCCUAUCCAGCUGAGUCCUAUACCUGUUGUGGUAUUGGAGUCAGGUUUUAAGGAGGUAAAAAGGUGUGUUUGUGAAAAGUUGUAAUUUUGAAGUGUAUUUAAUUUUCUCUGUUUUUAGGUCAAGUCAUCAGAGAUAUGUACUUUUAGAUCUGGACCGAGCCAUCUUUUACUUCCUCUGGGGCUCCAAGUGGGAAAGACUUAGGAGGGAGGUUGUCAAGAAGACGAAAGAAAAAGGAGGAAAAGGCGUGCCGGACUUCCAGAUCUUCC
Molecule: long non-coding RNA, 699 nt
Organism: Syngnathoides biaculeatus (alligator pipefish)
Lineage: Eukaryota; Metazoa; Chordata; Actinopteri; Syngnathiformes; Syngnathidae
Exons: 3
Source: RefSeq, a predicted model, not a curated record